Molecule: long non-coding RNA, 389 nt
Organism: Helianthus annuus (common sunflower)
Lineage: Eukaryota; Viridiplantae; Streptophyta; Magnoliopsida; Asterales; Asteraceae
Exons: 2
Source: RefSeq, a predicted model, not a curated record
GUUUCAACUUCUAAAUAAGAACUCACAACUACCGCUCAACCACCGGAGCUCCGGUGAACGCCAUUGCGCUUUGCGGCAGCGAUAUCGGACUGAAAAAUGUGACAACCCUCACAAUUACAGGAAAUUAGUGGAUCUGGCGGAGUAUGCGUUGUGUCAAGGCUGCGUAGUGAAUAAAGAUGUCAUCCGAGUCGUCGAGUUUAGGAGGUGGAUCCCUUUCCUGGACGGGAUGCACAAUUCUAAACCUGGGUUUUUAUUUAUGUGCUUUUGUUGAGUCAUUGUGAACUCUGUUAAUCAUGUCAUGGUUGUAACUUACUUUAUGUGUCAACACUUUCAAACAAUGUCGUUAUGGUAUUUUUAACUUAAUGAAUGGAUGAACAUCUUGUAUUUUA